Molecule: ribosomal RNA, 321 nt
Filed under: Anadenobolus arboreus
Lineage: Eukaryota; Metazoa; Arthropoda; Diplopoda; Spirobolida; Rhinocricidae
Description: eukaryotic LSU rRNA
Rfam family: Eukaryotic large subunit ribosomal RNA
Source: RNAcentral
AACACGGACCAAGGAGUCUAACGUGCGUGCGAGUCAGAGGGGCCACCGAACCCCCGAGGCGCAAUGAAGGUGAAAUUCACGUUCCCAGGCGGGAUCCCCGAUCCGGGUCUUCGGGGCGCACCGCCCGCCCGUCCAACGGUCGCCACGUCGACCGGACGGAGCGCGAGCACGCACGUUGGUACCCGAAAGAUGGUGAACUAUUCCUGGGCAGGACGAGGCCAGAGGAAACUCUGGUGGAAGUCCGUAGCGAUUCUGACGUGCAAAUCGAUCGUCGGACCCGGGUAUAGGGGCGAAAGACUAAUCGAACCAUCUAGUAGCUGG